RNAcentral lists this ribosomal RNA (253 nucleotides) under uncultured bacterium. RNAcentral describes it as "partial 16S ribosomal RNA". It matches the Rfam family "Bacterial small subunit ribosomal RNA", at positions 524 to 776 of the family's 1533-position model. RNAcentral also lists the same sequence under 1 other name. The record is from RNAcentral.
UACGGAGGGUGCAAGCGUUGUCCGGAUUUAUUGGGUUUAAAGGGUGCGUAGGCGGCCCUGUAAGUCAGUGGUGAAAGCCCAUAGCUCAACUAUGGAACUGCCAUUGAUACUGCAGGGCUUGAGUACAGACGAGGUUGGCGGAAUUGAUGGUGUAGCGGUGAAAUGCAUAGAUACCAUCAAGAACACCGAUUGCGAAGGCAGCUAACUAGGCUGUAACUGACGCUGAGGCACGAAAGCGUGGGGAGCGAACAGG